RNAcentral lists this ribosomal RNA (303 nucleotides) under Ramosella thalli. Its description in RNAcentral is "partial 12S small subunit ribosomal RNA". The record is from RNAcentral. Lineage: Eukaryota; Metazoa; Arthropoda; Insecta; Hemiptera; Membracidae.
UUUGAAGAAAAGGAGUUAUGAUCUUCAAAACUCAAAGAAUUUGGCGGCUAAUUAUAUUUAGGGGAACCUGUAUUAUAAUCGAUAAACCACGUUAAUUUAUACUUUUAUUUUAUUUGUAUACCUCUAUAUUUAAUAUUUUUUAAGAAUUUUUAUUUUAGUUUAUUCGUUGAAUUUAGGUCAAGGUGCAGUUUUAUAUAAGUAAAUAUGGGUUAUUUUUAUUAAAAUUUUAUAUAAUAAUUUAAUUUUAUAAAUUUAAUUUUAGAAUUUAAAAGUAAUUUUAAUUAAUUAAUUAAUAUGAAUAUA